GACGAACGCUGGCGGCGUGCUUAACACAUGCAAGUCGAACGGAAAGGCCCUGCUUUUGUGGGGUGCUCGAGUGGCGAACGGGUGAGUAACACGUGAGUAACCUGCCCUUGACUUUGGGAUAACUUCAGGAAACUGGGGCUAAUACCGGAUAGGAGCUCCUGCUGCAUGGUGGGGGUUGGAAAGUUUCGGCGGUUGGGGAUGGACUCGCGGCUUAUCAGCUUGUUGGUGGGGUAGUGGCUUACCAAGGCUUUGACGGGUAGCCGGCCUGAGAGGGUGACCGGCCACAUUGGGCCUGAGAUACGGCCCAGACUCCUACGGGAGGCAGCAGUGGGAAAUAUUGCACAAUGGGCGGAAGCCUGAUGCAGCAACGCCGCGUGCGGGAUGACGGCCUUCGGGUUGUAAACCGCUUUCGCCUGUGACGAAGCGUGAGUGACGGUAAUGGGUAAAGAAGCACCGGCUAACUACGUG
This 468-nucleotide ribosomal RNA is filed under the name uncultured bacterium. RNAcentral describes it as "partial 16S ribosomal RNA". It matches the Rfam family "Bacterial small subunit ribosomal RNA", at positions 28 to 507 of the family's 1533-position model. The record is from RNAcentral.